CCGAGUUCUAAACUCAGCAACCCAUUGUGAACGAUAGCUUUGUUGCUUCGGCUGGUUCACGGCUCCGGCCGCGCACGGCCGAAGGCCCUUAAACUCUUGUUUCCUAGUGACUACUCUGAGUAAAUCUGGAAAUAAAUCA
This 139-nucleotide unclassified non-coding RNA is filed under the name soil metagenome. Its description in RNAcentral is "partial internal transcribed spacer 1". The record is from RNAcentral.